UGGGGAAUUUUGGACAAUGGGCGAAAGCCUGAUCCAGCAAUGCCGCGUGUGUGAAGAAGGCCUUCGGGUUGUAAAGCACUUUUGUCCGGAAAGAAAUCCUUGGCUCUAAUACAGUCGGGGGAUGACGGUACCGGAAGAAUAAGCACCGGCUAACUACGUGCCAGCAGCCGCGGUAAUACGUAGGGUGCAAGCGUUAAUCGGAAUUACUGGGCGUAAAGCGUGCGCAGGCGGUUUGCUAAGACCGAUGUGAAAUCCCCGGGCUCAACCUGGGAACUGCAUUGGUGACUGGCAGGCUAGAGUAUGGCAGAGGGGGGUAGAAUUCCACGUGUAGCAGUGAAAUGCGUAGAGAUGUGGAGGAAUACCGAUGGCGAAGGCAGCCCCCUGGGCCAAUACUGACGCUCAUGCACGAAAGCGUGGGGAGCAAACAGGAUUAGAUACCCUGGUAGUCCACGCCCUAAACGAUGUCAACUAGUUGUUGGGGAUUCAUUUCCUUAGUAACGUAGCUAACACGUGAAGUUGACCGCCUGGGGAGUACGGUCGCAAGAUUAAAACUCAAAUGAAUGAC
RNAcentral lists this ribosomal RNA (565 nucleotides) under uncultured bacterium. Its description in RNAcentral is "partial 16S ribosomal RNA". It matches the Rfam family "Bacterial small subunit ribosomal RNA", at positions 355 to 914 of the family's 1533-position model. The record is from RNAcentral.